This is a long non-coding RNA of Triticum dicoccoides, 2379 nucleotides long. RefSeq lists it as uncharacterized. NCBI's taxonomy places the organism in Eukaryota, Viridiplantae, Streptophyta, Magnoliopsida, Poales, Poaceae. The record is from RefSeq and is a predicted model, not a curated record. The transcript has 2 exons.
UGGCCCCCAUCUCUUCCCCACGCCCACCUUAUCCAAUCAUCUCAGGAAAGGCAUGCCGCCGGCAGCGCUGGAACCGAUCUGGCGCGGUGGCUCCCGUUGACGCCGUGUGCCCCCGGAACCUCUCAUGCAUCCUCUCAGCCACACGGCCCACCAACACCAUGGCCCUCUCGUCACCAUCUCUUCCACCCCAUCCCCAUCUUCUCCGAUGCCGACCUCGGCAAGCAUGCCGGCGACACAUCUCCUGCCCCCUCCUCUGCGCAUUAGUCCCAGCGCCCAACAUCUCCACACCCCCUCCUCCUCGCCAUCUCCUCCACCCCCUGUCCCGUCUCCUGCCGCUGACCGCCGCCGGCUAUGUGUUGCUUCCUUGGCGGCGGCGUUUCCGCAUACUCCUCCUCCUCCUUCCCCACUGUCACUGAAGCGCCCCAUGUGGAGGUGCUAUGCUUGGCUAGGUCCUUCCCAAUCCUCAUCCCUCCCACCCGUGCCGCCUCCAAAAUUCAUUUUUUUUGUUACCCAGAGUUCAAUUCGUGCGUCCAGGUCGAACUCUCUAGAAGCCAGUCUUGCAGAGUUGCAGUCCAAUAUAAAUCAAAUGGGUAGGCAGAUGGGACUCAAGCUGCUUGCACUACACCUCAAGAGCCACACGCUCGUCACGCCAAUCUGGAGUUAUCGGCUCCAACGCUCGCAUGUCUUGCAAUUGCGAAGCCAAUGUAAGGAGUCUGAUGCGCCCGCUGGCGUGCAUUCCUUCAGUGCCUCUCCUCUGGCAUCAACCUGAAUGACCACGGCAAUCGUUGAAUGUGAGGUGAUCAUUGCUUUCAAUUCAUUUUUGUGUUUAUACUGAAGUGAUUUGGUGUCUGUUUUGCAGGAUAGUUUAACUUGCGAGAAAAUACUAUUGCAUUUUCAAAAAACGAUUAUGCUUGAUCUUAUAAGCAAUAUUGCAUUUUAAAAAGUAUUUCUCACCAAGGAAGGUAAUUAUAAUAAGCAUAAGAAUCAGCAUGUGAUUGUUUUUAGGAUAACUGAAAUAUGCAAAAAAAAAAUUGCCAAAAGAUCCUGAUCUUACUAAGCACAGAGUUCUUGGCUUAAGUACCAGGCAGUAGGUGACUGGUUUUCAUGGCGUUACAGCCAAAUCUUGCUUUAUGUAAUGUAAGAAGAGGCUGAAAGUUUGUUCUAUUAAACAGCAAUCUAAUGAUAUAUUAUAUACAGCAAAGGUUGCCUGCAAGAAGCAUUGCCUUCUGUACGUUGAGCAUUUGUUUGUAUAUCUAAGCUCAAUAAAUUGCGUUUCACAAUGACAAUUCUGAUAUGUUGUUAGUCGUUCAGCUUAGCAAUUCCACAAGUUGUAGUUCCAGCCAAACAUCUAAAUACUGAGCUCAAAUUGCAGAAAAUACUGGGUGUUCAGUACUCGAUUUUGGACUAUAUGUUCACCUAUCUCUAGGGUUCCAUGAUCUCAUCUAAAGGAUCUUUUUUGCUAACACAUACCUUGAUGUUGACAUCGACAGCAGCAGAGAUAAUAUACGCCAUAUAAUCUUGUAAACAUAUGUGUAGAUCAGUACAAGUACUUUCAGUCUUCCUCCUUGUGAAUUAGUCUUUCAAGCUGUGGAUGGUCAGGAGUCGCUUGAGCCCUGCAAAGAUAAUGUUCAAGCUACAGCUUGAGUCAGAAUUUGUACGGAUACAUGAAAAUGUGAUGUAUGCCGAGAAAAGGUCUGUUUGCUAUGCAAUUCAAUUUUUAGCUUGCAAUUGCAGUUAGAAGUUCAAACCGCAACUCAAAUAUGUUGUUAAUUUACAGUGAGCAUCCACUUGCAGAAGAUUUGUGCCUGGAUGUGCUAAUUGACAGUGAAAUGUAGAAAUAAGUUGCAACUUUGUAAUAUCCAUCUGAUAUGUGAAACAAGAAUUGUUACUAAUUCACAACAUGUAUCUACGAUUGUGAGAUGGGACACCAUGUGCACAGGGGAGGCAACACAAGGUCGAGAGAAAAGCCCGUGUAGAAAGAGAUGCAACAUAUGGCCAUCAUUACAACUGUUAUAUUUUUGUAUAUGUUGUAAUUAUUCAUGCAAAGGUUACAGGCUUGAUGCACAAUUAUAAGUAUCUGGAGGAGUUGACGAAGCGUGGAGUUUUUUCUUGACAAUACAAAGAGUAUGAGUUAGGAGACGUUGAAGUGCAACUACAGAGCAAGCAUGACAGAGGUGAAGCUUUUACUGGAGAAAGUUGCGUAAAGUCUUUUUUAAGGAAAAGUUGUGUUUUCUUACAGCCGUGGAGUAGGAUCCAGAUAGGGAAGGGAAGGGGCUAGAGCAACAAUAGUGUCCUUACCCAUUAGACUUUAAUCUAUGUACCUUCUAAUCAUUUACCCGAUUACUGCGGAAAUAGAAGAUGAAAGAUGAGAUAUGAACU